Molecule: ribosomal RNA, 624 nt
Filed under: Mucidula mucida
Lineage: Eukaryota; Fungi; Basidiomycota; Agaricomycetes; Agaricales; Physalacriaceae
Description: eukaryotic LSU rRNA
Rfam family: Eukaryotic large subunit ribosomal RNA
Source: RNAcentral
GCGGAGGAAAAGAAACUAACAAGGAUUCCCCUAGUAACUGCGAGUGAAGAGGGAAAAGCUCAAAUUUAAAAUCUGGCAGCUUCGCUGUCCGAGUUGUAAUUUAGAGAAGUGUUACCCUUGCUGGACCGUGUACAAGUUUCCUGGAACGGAACGUCAUAGAGGGUGAGAAUCCCGUCUUUGACACGGACUCCCAGCAUGUUGUGGUGCGCUCUCGAAGAGUCGUGUUGUUUGGGAAUGCAGCACUAAAUGGGUGGUAAAUUCCAUCUAAAGCUAAAUAUUGGCGAGAGACCGAUAGCAAACAAGUACCGUGAGGGAAAGAUGAAAAGAACUUUGGAAAGAGAGUUAAACAGUACGUGAAAUUGUUGAAAGGGAAACGCUUGAAGUCUAGUCGCGUCGGUUGGAAAUCAGUCUUGCUUCUGCUUGAUGUACUUUCUGAUCGACGGGUCAGCAUCAGUUUUGACCGUUGGAUAAAGGUUGGGGGAAUGUGGCAUCCUCGGAUGUGUUAUAGCCUCUGAUUGCAUACAACGGUUGGGACUGAGGAACUCAGCACGCCGCAAGGCCGGGUACUUGUACCACGUUCGUGCUUAGGAUGCUGGCAUAAUAGCUUUAAUCGACCCGUCUUGA